GAUGAACGCUGGCGGUGUGCCUAAUACAUGCAAGUCGAACGGGCAUAGCAAUAUGUCAGUGGCAAACGGGUGAGGAAUAUAUAGGAACCUCCCUAGCAGUAAGGAAUAACUUUGGGAAACCAAAGCUAAUGCCAUAUAUUACCCCUUAAGAAAUUAAGGGGGAAAGAUUUAUCGCUGUUAGAUGGGCCUGUAUCAGAUUAGCUAGUUGGUAGGGUAAUGGCCUACCAAGGCAAUGAUCUGUAGCUGGUCUGAGAGGAUGAUCAGCCACACUGGAACUGAGACACGGUCCAGACUCCUACGGGAGGCAGCAGUAGGGAAUAUUGGACAGUGGGCGCAAGCCUGAUCCAGCAAUACCACGUGAGUGAUGAAGGUCUUCGGAUUGUAAAGCUCUUUUAGUAGGGAAGAUAAUGACGGUACCUACAGAAAAAGCACCGGCUAACUUCGUGCCAGCCGCCGCGGUAA
This 462-nucleotide ribosomal RNA is filed under the name uncultured bacterium. RNAcentral's name for it is "partial 16S ribosomal RNA". It matches the Rfam family "Bacterial small subunit ribosomal RNA", at positions 28 to 523 of the family's 1533-position model. The record is from RNAcentral.